GGCAGCUGCAGGCUCUUUCUCAGCCACCUGCUACCUGGUCCCUGAGCCUGGCCCCUCCCGGGCUGGGCCCUUCCGCAGUCUGAAUCUCGGGCCACCUGGAUGGUGGCGAGGAGAGAGCAGACCUGCUCACUCCUGCCAACUUCGAUUCAGUCUCUGUUUCCUGCCUGUGCCCAGUCUGCCGUGGCUGCUCCGAAAACAGGAGCUUCAAGUUGACUUUACUCUCACUGAUGCUCCAGCAAUAGAGAAUAGUCUUCAAAUGCAGCAGGAUAGUUCAAGGUUGGACAUCUGGAAGAACUUCCCUGCCAGGCAAAACAUGGGAAUGGGGAGUAUGUGAUGUCUCUGUUAAAGAUGAACAAAUAACAAUAAUAGCAUUCAAUAUCUAUCAAGAAUAAGUUCUAUGCUCCUAGUAUGUUUUACAUGCUGUUUCAUCUCAUUUAAUCUUCAC
RNAcentral lists this long non-coding RNA (445 nucleotides) under Dasypus novemcinctus (nine-banded armadillo). Its description in RNAcentral is "lncRNA (ENSDNOG00000049958.1)". The record is from RNAcentral. Lineage: Eukaryota; Metazoa; Chordata; Mammalia; Cingulata; Dasypodidae.